CUCAGGAACAAUAGCCCUAAAUUUGAAAUCCGACAGAGGUUAGCAGAAGACUGGAUGUGUGUAUUCAGCUUUGCCAUAUGCAGCUUUUUGUGGAACUCCUCAUAGAAACUCAGCCUUUUGUUGCAUAUUGGAGAACUUCAUUACCAUAAGAAAAUGUGAUGUUCUUGGCUGUGAAUUCCUGCUACAAUGUGAACUAGGAUCCCAAGGCAAG
Neopelma chrysocephalum (saffron-crested tyrant-manakin) is the source of this 211-nucleotide long non-coding RNA. RefSeq lists it as uncharacterized. The transcript is spliced from 2 exons. Lineage: Eukaryota; Metazoa; Chordata; Aves; Passeriformes; Pipridae. The record is from RefSeq and is a predicted model, not a curated record.